AAUAAUUCUGUAAAAAAAUACACGCUGUAAUGAUAGCACAUGUGAUGCAUAGAUGACAUUAACUUCCUAGUACAAAUCUAUAAAGAUCGUUGCAAAUGAAACAAAGGGACAGACGAUAGGAUUCGGAGCACUGACACAGUUUCAAGAACCUAAAAUAUGUCUGUUCUUUCGCUCACAAUCAUGGUUCUCCUAUCUUUAGUGAUUGGAGAGGUAGCACCAUGUUAUACUUACGGCAAGACAGACGGUUGCAGUAUUCCUGGUGACCUACCAUUCUUCUAUAAAGGAGCAUUCAGGUCUGCCUGUGACCGACAUGAUGUUUGCUAUGCCUGUGGCUAUGGAUCAGGAGUGUCACGAUCUGUAUGUGAUAGGAGAUUUUACAAUAAUCUCCUAUCUCGCUGCCAAAGGGAAUCGUUUUGGAUGAGAGAAUUUUGUCGCAAAAUCGCUGAAAUCUACUAUAACGCUGUCAAACACAAUGGUCACGAAUAUUACGAUGUUCCAUCACUAAGCUGGUGUGGAAGUUCAUGGGUCCCAGGAUGUAUGUAAUGCCUAUUCAAAAUAAUGAUUGACGUUUGACAUAUAACUUUUCGUCAUUAUAUAUCUUUUCAUUUUAUAAUGUAGUGACAAAUGAAUGACAUUAUUUGCCGGUGUGUUUAAUCUCGUUUUCCAUAAGUAAUUCUUUUUUUAUAUAAAAUUAGUGUACUUAUUUAUAGAUUUCUAAACAUGUAUAAAUAUGAAAUUAAUUUAACGGCAAACAUUGUACAAUCUUUUAAACUUGUUCUACUAGCUCAAUUUACGCAACAUGAACAAUUAAAUGUUUCUUUUUCUCUGUUUGAUCCGAUUUUAUUACAAGUAAGAGAAAUAAAUGAUUAAGUUGUCAAAUAGCA
Molecule: long non-coding RNA, 884 nt
Organism: Ruditapes philippinarum (Manila clam)
Lineage: Eukaryota; Metazoa; Mollusca; Bivalvia; Venerida; Veneridae
Exons: 3
Source: RefSeq, a predicted model, not a curated record